RNAcentral lists this unclassified non-coding RNA (651 nucleotides) under Hevea brasiliensis (rubber tree). Lineage: Eukaryota; Viridiplantae; Streptophyta; Magnoliopsida; Malpighiales; Euphorbiaceae. The record is from RNAcentral.
UUGGACAUCAAAGCUGGAUAUCGAGUUCCAAAGACAGUUUUUAUUUGUUUUGUAUAUAUGUGAAGUGUGUACAGAAUUGCAAGCCACAUUGUUUCAUUUCUCCAUAUGGUUAGAGCGAAGAGCCUUCGCUUCGAUUGGGCUUUCGAGAUCUGAAGAUCAAAUCACGAUCAUCAAAUUUUGGGAGCCAGUCAUUAGUUGCUGGAUUGCCUUUGCAGCCACCAUCAACAUGAACCCUCCCAUUUGCAACAUCAAUAAACUCAGUUUCAUUAUUCUGAAUAUUCACUCCAUUUUCUCCUCCUUCAUUCCCUACCUGUAUGAACCCACUACCUGUCUUAUGAUGGCGUUUUUCAAUUGAAUGCAAAUGCUUGUAAUACUCUGUCUCCACGUAGUCGUCCUGCACCAACGAUUCCCCAACUCCCAAGUGUAAAACAUAAGAUUGGGACUGCAGAUUUCGGAGCUUAUCCAGCUCGGGAAUAGCCUCUACUGAUGUGAGUUCAGAUGGGUUUUGAGUCGAGCAAUCGGAUUCGCUUCGGCUCGGUUUCAUCGGUCGCUUGGGGACGACGGAAUCGAACUGGGCUCUGAUCUGAUCAGUGAUUCGCAUCUGCUCCUCGUCGUCCAACACGACGUCGCUCCGGCUCGGCUUGCUCCCCG